This 196-nucleotide transfer RNA is filed under the name Methanosarcina sp. MTP4. The stretch from base 43 to 117 matches the Rfam family "Small nucleolar RNA sR3". The record is from Rfam by way of RNAcentral. RNAcentral also lists the same sequence under 1 other name. Lineage: Archaea; Methanobacteriati; Methanobacteriota; Methanomicrobia; Methanosarcinales; Methanosarcinaceae.
GGGGCUGUGGCCUAGCCCGGUAUGGCGACGGGCUCCAGCGGAUAAAAUGAUGAACAACGGGUCUACCGAGUUCUUCCCGACGGGGAAGGACGAUGAGGAGCCGUUGGAGCACUGAUUGAUGCUCAUAGAACUAAAACUGUUGAGGCAGUUGUUCGGAGAGACCCGUCGAUCGUGAGUUCGAAUCUCACCAGCCCCA